Molecule: ribosomal RNA, 623 nt
Filed under: uncultured eukaryote
Lineage: Eukaryota
Description: eukaryotic LSU rRNA
Rfam family: Eukaryotic large subunit ribosomal RNA
Source: RNAcentral
AAAAGAAACUAACUAGGAUUCCCUUAGUAACGGCGAGUGAAGAGGGAAAAGCUCAAAUUGAAAAUCGACAGCUUGUCUGUCGAGUUGUAGUCUCUGGAAGUACAGCCAGUGGUCGCUUUGGAACAAGUCUCUUGGAAAAGAGCACCAGAGAAGGUAAAAGUCCUGUCUUUCCAAAAGUAGCUACAUACGGUUAUAUUUCAUAGAGUCGCGUUUCUUGCAAUUGAAGCGCAAAGUGGGUGAUAAACUUCAUCUAAAGCUAAAUAUCAGCAAGAGACCGAUAGCGAACAAGUACCGUGAGGGAAAGAUGAAAAGCACUCUGGAAAGAAAGUUAAAAGGCACUGAAAUUGCUAAAAUGGAAGUGGAGUGAUAAAAGCAAGCGUAUCUCAUAAAAGAUGCACUACGGAGUUUUUGCAACUUUUGUUGUGUUUCUUUUUGACCGCUCGUUGGGGCUAAUGUAACAGUCGGGACUUACUUCAGUGUCAGACUAUAAGUCAAUUGUAGCUGCAUUGCUGUACAACCUGAUUCUGUAUAUUAGAUAAAAUAUAUACCACUCGUGGUGUAUAUUAUCCCAAUGAAGCUUUGUCUCUCUAUCCCGUCUUGAAACACGGAAGGGCGAAUUCGUU